AUGGAGAUUGCUGCAGCGAUAGUCGGCGCCGUAGCUACCGCUGCUGCUACCAUCGCCGCGAAUAAGCUCAUGACGCUGGUGGGCAAUCGAUCAUGUGAGGCGGCGGUCAAGGAAAAAGCUGAGUCCAUCAAAUAUGAGGUCAAAUGUAUCAAUGCUCUCAUUAUUGAUGCUGCGUCGAAGCGGCUGUCGGUCUUACAGACUGAAUGCUUCGAACAACUGAGCUGCUUGGCAUGUGAAAUCGAAGACAUUUUAGACUUGUUCGACGCCGGCAAGACCAAAGGUUUUUCUGAUGAGAUUGAUAAACUCGAGAUCAAAUCACUUAAGACGAGAGAUCGGAUACACACAUAUCUGGGCAUAGGAGAAAUGAUUGCCCCUGGGACUCCAGAUGGGGCUGUAGAGAAGAGGAACCGUAUGUUGAGAUAUGUGGAGCCGGGACAAGGGAUUGUCGGUGGGGGUGCAGAAAGGCCUGAUGAGCUUCAAGGAGAGAUUCAGGAUAUUCUUGAUACCCCUUCCCUGCGGGGUUGGCUUGCCAAAGGCCCCAACUUCUUGCCAGGGACUUCACAAGGGGCUGCUGUUGUCCCCCAAGAGCUUCUGGAUCUUCUCGAGGACUCGAACCACCGUGUUUGGGUUGUUGAGAACUUCGACUGCUUGCUCUAUUUGUGCUUGUUUCGUCCAAAUCAUGAUGUCAAUACGAAGCCCCUGAUGAGGAGAUGGGCGGCUGAAGGACUAGUGCAAGGAGACAAAGACGCAGCUAAGAAUUUGCGCUUCUUGAUCGACAAAAGUAUCAUCAGAUCCAUCCACACAAGCAACAAUGGAGAGGUGGAGACAUGCCAAUCUACCACCCAGAUGCACGCGUGCAUCUCUCAGAAGUCCAAGUCCCAGAAUUUUGUAAUGGUGUUUGACGGUGCGGCCAGUAUAACAGAUCUGGCCGUGGCCCGCAGGCUAUCUCUGCAUCCUAAAGCACGUGUCGAACUGGAAGAGACUCAUGAGUUACCUCGUCUCCGGACCCUGGCGGUAUUCCUUGAUGAUGAUGUGAGUGUAGACAACUAUGAAGCUGUUUUUGAUUUUUCCAGGUAUAAAGUGCUGCGGGUGUUGGAUCUGAAAGAAUGUGCUCCCUUGAGUGAGAAACAUGUCAAGGAUAUCAUGAGCAAUCACGGGCAGCCGCUGAUGAAAUAUCUGAGCAUCAAUUUGGGCAGCAUUGAUGAAAUUUCAAGCUCAAUCAAGAACCUGAAUCAGUUAGAGACACUGGACCUGAGUGGAACCGAAACAGUGGCCUUCUCCCAAGAAGUCCUCCUGCUGCCCAAACUGAAGCACCUUCUCGGGAAGUUCCAGUUUCACUUGAGGGAGAGCAUGACGACUCACUCGGGUCUAAGGGAGUUCCUGGCAAACAAGAGUAAACUGGAGACGCUGGAAGGAUUUGUCACCGGUUCGAGAUAUGGAUUUCAAGAUCUGAUGAGUUUCAUGAAGAGUUUGCGCAAGGUGAAGAUAUGGUGCAAAUCCGACGCAAGUCAAGCAAAACUUGAUGUGCUAUCUAGCGCCAUUACCAAGUUCAUUCAUCGUGGGAUCAAUGAGUCUCAAUGCAGUCGGUCCUUAUCGAUCGACUUUGAAGCCUGCACGAGAGGAUUCGUGAAUGAAAUAGACCCAGUAAACGCCAGCACACUCGGCCGGGUCGAGCUGUGCGGCAAACUGAGCGAAUUCCCUCCGUUCGUUGCAGGGUUGAGUCAAGUAGUGGAGCUGUGCCUCUGCUCCACUGGACUGAGCUGGGUGGCUAUUCGUGAGGGGCUGAAAAAUGUGAGGGGACUGAAAUUUCUCAAGCUUGUUGAAGAUAACCUUGGGCACUUUGACGUCGACAUACCUGAGAAGGAAGCUGAUCACCUCAGGAGCAUCCAGCGGAUAACAAUCGUGUCCUCGCUAAGGCUAGACAUGACAAUCCCAGAUAAGGCGCUGCCACUUCUUGUGUCACUUCGAAUCCUCUGUCAAGCUCUGGAUGUUAGUCCUGCAACUUCCGGUGUCAACAUCAGCCACAUGAAAGAGCUGGAGGAAAUCGCGCUGCAUCUUGGCGUCGACACUGCAAUAAGAACUGAAUGGGAAGAAGCUGCAAGUGUCCAUCCUCAUAAGCACGUGGGCGUCACUGAAGGCCCCUGA
This 2145-nucleotide ribosomal RNA is filed under the name Triticum aestivum (bread wheat). RNAcentral describes it as "partial small subunit ribosomal RNA". Lineage: Eukaryota; Viridiplantae; Streptophyta; Magnoliopsida; Poales; Poaceae. The record is from RNAcentral.